UACGUAGGGUGCGAGCGUUGUCCGGAAUUAUUGGGCGUAAAGAGCUCGUAGGCGGUCUGUCGCGUCGAUCGUGAAAACUUGGGGCUUAACCCUGAGCUUGCGGUCGAUACGGGCAUGACUGGAGUUCGGCAGGGGAGACUGGAAUUCCUGGUGUAGCGGUGAAAUGCGCAGAUAUCAGGAAGAACACCCGUGGCGAAGGCGGCUCUCUGGGAAGGUACUGACGCUGAGACGCGAAAGCGUGGGGAGCGAACAGG
This 254-nucleotide ribosomal RNA is filed under the name uncultured bacterium. RNAcentral's name for it is "partial 16S ribosomal RNA". It matches the Rfam family "Bacterial small subunit ribosomal RNA", at positions 524 to 776 of the family's 1533-position model. The record is from RNAcentral.